AGACGAGAAACCGAAAAAGGGCGGUCUUGUCCCUCAUAUUUUCAAAUAGCUACUUUCUUCUUUACAUGAAUGCAACUAUUCAGAAUUAUUCCGUCCCU
RNAcentral lists this non-coding RNA (98 nucleotides) under Paramoeba aestuarina. Lineage: Eukaryota; Discosea; Flabellinia; Dactylopodida; Paramoebidae. The record is from RNAcentral.